RNAcentral lists this ribosomal RNA (467 nucleotides) under uncultured bacterium. Its description in RNAcentral is "partial 16S ribosomal RNA". It matches the Rfam family "Bacterial small subunit ribosomal RNA", at positions 29 to 507 of the family's 1533-position model. The record is from RNAcentral.
ACGAACGCUGGCGGCGUGCUUAACACAUGCAAGUCGAACGGAAAGGCCCUGCUUUUGUGGGGUGCUCGGGUGGCGAACGGGUGAGGAACACGUGAGUAACCUGCCCUUGACUUUGGGAUAACUUCAGGAAACUUGGGCUAAUACCGGAUAGGAGCUCCUGCUGCAUGGGGGGGGUUGGAAAGUUUCGGCGGUUGGGGAUGGACUCGCGGCUUAUCAGCUUGUUGGUGGGGUAGUGGCUUACCAAGGCUUUGACGGGUAGCCGGCCUGAGAGGGUGACCGGCCACAUUGGGACUGAGAUACGGCCCAGACUCCUACGGGAGGCAGCAGUGGGGAAUAUUGCACAAUGGGCGGAAGCCUGAUGCAGCAACGCCGCGUGCGGGAUGACGGCCUUCGGGUUGUAAACCGCUUUCGCCUGUGACGAAGCGUGAGUGACGGUAAUGGGUAAAGAAGCACCGGCUAACUACGUG